RNAcentral lists this unclassified non-coding RNA (201 nucleotides) under Hevea brasiliensis (rubber tree). Lineage: Eukaryota; Viridiplantae; Streptophyta; Magnoliopsida; Malpighiales; Euphorbiaceae. The record is from RNAcentral.
CCCACGGAUCUGUAGACAACGUAUUCGAUGGCGCGAUUGGCGGACGACAACUCCAGACGAACGUGAGCGACGGCGAACGAAGGCGGCGUGAAAAGAUGCGGGCGACUGACGGAGCUGGUCGGCGACUGUGGUGGAGGAAAACGAACGACUCUCGCGGCUCAAGGUCGCGAGAACGGCAAUGGCGUCGAGGUCGGAGGUGGG